GAUGAACGCUGGCGGCGUGCCUAAUACAUGCAAGUCGAGCGAACAGACGAGGAGCUUGCUCCUCUGACGUUAGCGGCGGACGGGUGAGUAACACGUGGAUAACCUACCUAUAAGACUGGGAUAACUUCGGGAAACCGGAGCUAAUACCGGAUAAUAUAUUGAACCGCAUGGUUCAAUAGUGAAAGACGGUUUUGCUGUCACUUAUAGCUGGAUCCGCGGCGCAUUAGCUAGUUGGUAAGGUAACGGCUUACCAAGGCAACGAUGCGUAGCCGACCUGAGAGGGUGAUCGGCCACACUGGAACUGAGACACGGUCCAGACUCCUACGGGAGGCAGCAGUAGGGAAUCUUCCGCAAUGGGCGAAAGCUUGACGGAGCAACGCCGCGUGAGUGAUGAAGGUCUUCGGAUCGUAAAACUCUGUUAUUAGGGAAGAACAAAUGUGUAAGUAACUAUGCACGUCUUGACGGUACCUAAUCAGAAAGCCACGGCUAACUACGUG
RNAcentral lists this ribosomal RNA (497 nucleotides) under uncultured bacterium. Its description in RNAcentral is "partial 16S ribosomal RNA". It matches the Rfam family "Bacterial small subunit ribosomal RNA", at positions 28 to 507 of the family's 1533-position model. The record is from RNAcentral.